UUCGGCCCGUAAACCUCUGUCAUUUGCGAACAAACGUCAUGGUUGAACAUUCCAUGGCUUGAUUGUAGCGAAAGAGGAAGGGACGGCUAACUCUGUGCCAGCAGCCGCGGUAAUACAGAGGUCCCAAGCGUUGUUCGGAUUCACUGGGCGUAAAGGGUGCGCAGGUGGGUUUGCAAGUUCGAUGUGAAAGCCCCGGGCUUAACCCGGGAAUGGCAUUGGAUACUGCAGAUCUGGAGGAUUGGAGGGGGGACUGGAAUUCUUGGUGUAGCAGUGAAAUGCGUAGAUAUCAAGAGGAACACCAGUGGCGAAGGCGAGUCCCUGGACAAUUCCUGACACUGAGGCACGAAAGCUAGGGGAGCAAACAGGAUUAGAUACCCUGGUAGUCCUAGCUGUAAACGGUGCGCAUUUGCUGUAAACGGAAUCGACCCCGUUUGUGGCGAAGCUAACGCGAUAAAUGCGCCGCCUGGGAAGUACGGUCGCAAGAUUAAAACUCAAAGAAAUUGACGGGGGCCUGCACAAGCGGUGGAGUAUGUGGCUUAAUUCGAUGCAACGCGAAGAACCUUACCUGGCCUUGACAUGCAAGUAGUAGAACCAUGAAAGUGGGACGAGCCCGCAAGGGCAGCUUGCACAGGUGCUGCAUGGCUGUCGUCAGCUCGUGUCGUGAGAUGUUGGGUUAAGUCCCGCAACGAGCGCAACCCU
Molecule: ribosomal RNA, 699 nt
Filed under: uncultured Syntrophus sp.
Lineage: Bacteria; Pseudomonadati; Thermodesulfobacteriota; Syntrophia; Syntrophales; Syntrophaceae
Description: bacterial SSU rRNA
Rfam family: Bacterial small subunit ribosomal RNA
Source: RNAcentral